RNAcentral lists this ribosomal RNA (700 nucleotides) under Marivita sp. AC122-G30. Its description in RNAcentral is "bacterial SSU rRNA". It matches the Rfam family "Bacterial small subunit ribosomal RNA", at positions 62 to 808 of the family's 1533-position model. The record is from RNAcentral. Lineage: Bacteria; Pseudomonadati; Pseudomonadota; Alphaproteobacteria; Rhodobacterales; Roseobacteraceae.
UCGAGCGAGGACUUCGGUUCUAGCGGCGGACGGGUUAGUAACGCGUGGGAACGUGCCCUUUUCUACGGAAUAGCCUCGGGAAACUGAGAGUAAUACCGUAUACGCCCUUAGGGGGAAAGAUUUAUCGGAGAAGGAUCGGCCCGCGUUAGAUUAGAUAGUUGGUGGGGUAAUGGCCUACCAAGUCUACGAUCUAUAGCUGGUUUGAGAGGAUGAUCAGCAACACUGGGACUGAGACACGGCCCAGACUCCUACGGGAGGCAGCAGUGGGGAAUCUUAGACAAUGGGCGCAAGCCUGAUCUAGCCAUGCCGCGUGAGUGAUGAAGGCCUUAGGGUCGUAAAGCUCUUUCGCCUGUGAAGAUAAUGACUGUAGCAGGUAAAGAAACCCCGGCUAACUCCGUGCCAGCAGCCGCGGUAAUACGGAGGGGGUUAGCGUUGUUCGGAAUUACUGGGCGUAAAGCGCGCGUAGGCGGACAUUUAAGUCAGGGGUGAAAUCCCGGGGCUCAACCCCGGAACUGCCCUUGAUACUGGGUGUCUUGAGUUCGAGAGAGGUGAGUGGAAUUCCGAGUGUAGAGGUGAAAUUCGUAGAUAUUCGGAGGAACACCAGUGGCGAAGGCGGCUCACUGGCUCGAUACUGACGCUGAGGUGCGAAAGUGUGGGGAGCAAACAGGAUUAGAUACCCUGGUAGUCCACACCGUAAACG